AGAGUGCACUUUUCAACGUGGCGGAAGCGAUGUGCUUACACGUUUGGAAUAACUCGGGAUUCAGAUAUGUAAAUAUUUAUGUGCUGUCGAUAUUUAUAAACUAAGGACGUAUUGAAUAUCGUCCACAUAACUCUGUGCAGUAGCGUGGAAUUCUACAACUAUUAUAAAUUACAAGUGAACGAUGAGUGAUGAAAAGGCAGAAAAAAUGGUCCAAGAUGCAGUUCGUUGAAGUCAAUGCAUAAAUGUGGUCGCUGUUCAAUGUAGAAGUUGUGGUCUUAAUCUUUGCAGAGAUUGUAGAAACAAACAUUUAGAAAAUGAAGCAUUGAAGCAUGAAAUUGACCUGUACAAGCAACAAGCCUCCUCUCCAGACAAAUGUACUGAUCAUUCUCAAGAAAAUGUCCUGUACUGUCAAGAUUGCACAGUUCCUAUUUGCUUUCAGUGUCUUUUGGGAAACCAUGAGGGACACAGAAGUGUAAACUUGUCCAAAAUCACCUCAGCAACUCAAAGCGCCGUCCAAAGCGACUUACUGGAAUUAAGGCACUUCAAAAA
Long non-coding RNA from Saccostrea cuccullata (small rock oyster), 549 nucleotides. RefSeq lists it as uncharacterized. Lineage: Eukaryota; Metazoa; Mollusca; Bivalvia; Ostreida; Ostreidae. The record is from RefSeq and is a predicted model, not a curated record. The transcript has 2 exons.